Molecule: ribosomal RNA, 162 nt
Filed under: Pseudo-nitzschia delicatissima
Lineage: Eukaryota; Bacillariophyta; Bacillariophyceae; Bacillariales; Bacillariaceae
Description: 5.8S ribosomal RNA
Rfam family: 5.8S ribosomal RNA
About the family: 5.8S ribosomal RNA (5.8S rRNA) is a component of the large subunit of the eukaryotic ribosome. It is transcribed by RNA polymerase I as part of the 45S precursor that also contains 18S and 28S rRNA.
Source: RNAcentral
UACAACUUUCAGCGGUGGAUGUCUAGGUUCCCACAACGAUGAAGAACGCUAGCGAAAUGCGAUACGUAAUGCGAAUGGCAAGACCUCGUGAAUCAUUAAGAUUUUGAACGCACAUUGCGCUUUCGGGAUUUUCCCGGUAGCAUGCUUGUCUGAGUGUCUGUG